RNAcentral lists this long non-coding RNA (657 nucleotides) under Setaria viridis. Its description in RNAcentral is "long non-coding RNA (SVIR_LNC010613)". The record is from RNAcentral. Lineage: Eukaryota; Viridiplantae; Streptophyta; Magnoliopsida; Poales; Poaceae.
AUGGUGGAGUUUAGGAGCUUGUUGUGAUCAUCAAUGGUAUAUAAUCGGAGGUGAUGGUCUAAAUACAUUUAUAUAUGAGCAAUGUUCUUCAUGUCAGCUGAUCUAUUAGCUACUCAAUGCCUCCUUUUAUACUCUUCUAUCUAUUAUGAAUAUGCUUGUUCCUUAGUCCAAUUCAUGGUUAGACAACAUAGCUUUCUUUAAGUAAUCAUGGUGAUUAGAUCUAGUAAGUUGAUCCUUCUUGGUAGCUAGACACGUUUACCUUGUGAUCGUGCCCUUAAUCUACCUAUGUUGAUAGAGAGGAUCGUGAGGGGGUCUUUCUUGUGUAAGGUGGGGGGUUUCGGUAGGUUGACCGGAGGUAGUAGUUUAAAGAUUGCUUUGGAUGAGAUGCAUGUUGUGCUUGCUUAUUAGCUAGAACUACAGCUAGAAGACGAUAGGCUCUUUGCUACCCUUGGUGGUGUUAUCAUAUAUAUCUGUCGAUGAGAUGUACAUUUACUCAUGCUAUUAAUCUUUACAUCAAGUUUGCUCUCAUAUGCAGUCUAUGCUUCAUUCUAGGAUUAGAUCCGUUGAGCUAGAUAGACAAUCCUAAUCAGUUUGCUGCCGAUCCACAGAUUGAUAAACCUUGGAUGGAAUACUCUAAGAGAAAAGCUACGAUGAUCC